GGUUCUGUAUUCAAUAAUGAUUUUAAAUUGCAAAUUUAAAGGUGAAUUUACUUCCGGAACUU
RNAcentral lists this transfer RNA (62 nucleotides) under Myrmeleon immaculatus. RNAcentral's name for it is "tRNA-Cys". The record is from RNAcentral. Lineage: Eukaryota; Metazoa; Arthropoda; Insecta; Neuroptera; Myrmeleontidae.